CCCACUAUGACUUAUGGAAAGGGCCAGCCU
RNAcentral lists this non-coding RNA (30 nucleotides) under Homo sapiens (human). The record is from RNAcentral. Lineage: Eukaryota; Metazoa; Chordata; Mammalia; Primates; Hominidae.